Long non-coding RNA from Vicugna pacos (alpaca), 1287 nucleotides. RefSeq lists it as uncharacterized. The record is from RefSeq and is a predicted model, not a curated record. Lineage: Eukaryota; Metazoa; Chordata; Mammalia; Artiodactyla; Camelidae.
GCCGCCGCUCACUCCGCCAUGUUGCCGCCCCCUGCCUGCGGUAGCGGCCACUGCGCCUGCGCAGAGCCUCUGGGGGCGGAGCGCUUGGUACACCCCCUCUUUCGCCCUGCCCUCCUUCUCCUUCCACACACCCACCCCGACACCCCUCAUCCCUCCCCCAACCACCCUGAACGGAUAGACAGGAGGAGGUUUUCAUCAUCUUCGUCGUUGCAUCCAGUAGCUGCUACUGCCAGUGCCACGUGCCUUGUAAGGUGCUGAUGGUCAUUCCUUCCUGGCUGGAAACUCCCUGGACGGGGAUUUGUGGCAGCAGAAUUCUCACAUUCUCUAGGUGCUCAGGAUUACUUUCUCUGGGGGAGCCAGCUGCCAUGUCCAAAGACCCUCUGGCUGUUCUAUGGAGGACAUCACACGAGGCACUCAGGCCUCCUGCCCACAGCCACAUGAGUGAGCAUCCUGGAGGCGGAUGCCCCCGCCACAGCUGUUACAUGACUGCAGGCUGCAAGCCAGCAGCUUCACUGCCACUGCGUGGGAGGCCCUGAACCAGAACUGCCCAGAUACCCAACUGUGCUGCUCUGGGAUUCCUGAUCCUCAGAAACUGUCAGAGUCCAUUGCCGUGACCUCGGGCUAAAUAUCAUCCCCCCCUGCUGAGAGUGUGGAAGUAGUUCCCCCACUGGUUCCAGGCUUCCAUUCCUGCUCCCGUCGAAAGAUCCAAAGGUGCAGUUGUAGCCUGGGAUUUGUGGAGUCCCUCAGAGAGGGUGAGGACAGCGAUUGGAACUCACAGGGCAGAAUCCUUGGAAACAGUACCAUUCAGGGAGUUGAGAACCUGCAGAAGACUGAAAAGGAGGAUUAAGCAUGUAUGUGGAGAACCAGGAGAGAAAGACACUGAAGGAGUCUAGGCAGGGGAUGCUCAGUGGAAGGCACCUCCUGGAGCUGGCAGGUCCACUGGCGCAUCAUUUUCUGGAAUUGCCUUGGUGACUCCAGGGACCAGAUGUUUCUCGGCCUGCAACCCACUGCUCCUGCGUUCAGCCUCCUGGCUGGCUGUUUGCUUGCUUGGAUUCAGCCCAGUGCAGAUGGCAUCACUGCGAAAUCAGAGAAGGAUGACACAUGGUUUCCUGCUCUUCCUUCAAGUCACUCCUUUACUUGUUAGAGCUUAUUUCCUGGGAGUCCAAAAAUUAAGUUUCACCUGGGCUACGUACUCUAUAAUUACAUUAUUUUCUUAAUUAUGCUUGAUGACAAAGUUAUCAAAAUUCAACAAGAUUAAAACCAAAAUAAAAUUGGGAAGCAAAUGUC